AAGCAUUUGGAAGUGCAAGAUGACCCCAUAGACACUGUGUAUUCGAUAGGGUACCAGUAAUGCUGUUAAGUUGCCCAUCAGUCACAUCUUGCUCUUUGUGACACUGACCAUCAUGGCUGCCAUAGUCACUAUUUACACAAGGAGGAUCCGCCCACCCAAGGCUCUGCCCCCACAAGCAGAAGAAGCCUCUAGUAUUGAGAUUCAUGUCCUGGAGGAAUGACCCCCUGUUCCUCACUCUUCUCCCUGUGCUGGACUAAGACUUUCAAACUGUCUGUGGUUUUAUUGAUUAGAGGGCAUUAUACAUGUUUUUUAAAGCUGAUGUUCAUGUAUGAUAGAGUAAAGUGUGUUGGAAGAUGUAUUUAUAGUUGUAUUUUCAACUUUUAGUAUCUUUAGUAUCAGUAACUGUCAGAGCAGCUCACAGAUUACUGCACCUGUACAUAGCCCACCUAUAAUUUAGCCCAAACAACUACCUCUUUCCCAACUGUAUUUAA
This is a long non-coding RNA of Oncorhynchus kisutch (coho salmon), 491 nucleotides long. RefSeq lists it as uncharacterized. The transcript has 3 exons. The record is from RefSeq and is a predicted model, not a curated record. NCBI's taxonomy places the organism in Eukaryota, Metazoa, Chordata, Actinopteri, Salmoniformes, Salmonidae.